UUCCGCUCUCCCAACCCGAUUGUCCCUUAUCACAAGCUAAUUAGAUGGUAAACAUGAAUUAUUCAUCAAAAUUUCCCGAGACCAAAUCGAUAUGUCGACGGGCUCCACCAAUUUACGCCGGUGUAGCUGUUUGCAUAGGUCAUUGUUUGCAUAGGUCAAUUUGUUAUGGCGGAAAUUCUAUUUUUAAGGCAACCUGGGAAAGUAUUAUGUCGUUUUUAGGGAAGGUGAUCUCUCAUCUUAAUUAUAACCAGGCAGUAACUUACUCAGUGUUUUCCUUCGGUUAAGUAGAAUUCAGUGGCCGAGGAAAGCAACAUGUGUGCAUACCUUUUCAAAAUUUGCAAAGCAACUACCAUCGAUCACAAUUAGGAAUCAGCAAGAUGUUUUUGCAUCUAUUAGGACUGUUGAUAGAUAGAUUGCCACCACAGGUUCAUGUAUUGAAUUUAAUUGUCAGCAGCUCACAGGCUACUACAGAUUCAUAUCAACAUGAUAAAAGUACAAACCCUUUUUGUUGGUUGUGUAGCAAAAAGGCAAAAAUGUAUGACAUAUUUUCUACGGAACAGUAGGAUUACUUUUGAUAAACAUAUUUUACCAAUUUGUUUGGCUUGCGAUCUCCAACUGAACCAACUUGACCAUGUAGUUAUAAGAGAGGGCUUGUACCUGAGCACAUAUAAUCUAGGUUAAACAUAAGGAAGGAAAGUAAUCGCAGUACUUUUAGUAAGUGUGUGCAAAUUACAGCGGAGCCUAUUGUUCGUUCAUGGCUGCACAAUGUUACUAUGCACACAGAGUUCACGAAAACAAAUGUCGACCAUAAUAUAUCUCAGACUACAUCCUGAAAACAAAUACAAUGUACUUGGAUACAAAUGAAAUUGUUAGAAAGAGGUGACAUGUCACACAAUGAGUUUGUAUAAAUUUUACCGAUUAACUCGCUCCACAUUUCCCUGCAAAAAAAAAGCUCGCUCCACAUGAGCCUGGAUACACUGGCUUCCGCUGGUCCACUGCAGCCACCUUUUUUAAUGAGAAAAAAAUUAGAGACAGCUUCGGAUAGAUUUUCCCUGCUAAUUAUCAUAUGCAUUUUUUUCUCAAGUUCAUUUAGGAUCCGGCUAACAUUCUGUACCCAGGACUAUCAGCAACCAACCUUUUGUGCCCUUGUUCACAACGUGCUAGCCAUAAAGAUGACAAAGCCCUUGUUCUUGCUGCUGCAAACACUCCGUUGCUAUUGGAUUGGGUAGAGAACAUCUGUCAAUUAUUCAUGUGCCCGAUCUUAAAGGCACGCAAUGCAUGUUCAAGGUCAAUCUCGGCGGCACCCCUCACAGCCUUAGGGAAACCAAUUUCGAGAGCUUGGCUGCAAAGGAAUUGAGAGUUGGGUCCUCACAUCGACCUGAUCCUUUCGUGCAUCAAUUCUGUAAGUUGGAGAAAGCACUUGAACAUUUUUAGUCCCUCUACAUUUAUUCAUUGUUGUUCUGAUUUCACAAAGAGUUGGUUAAAUUGCUGAUUCAUUUCUUGAGCAAGUAGAAAACAAAAUGCUUGGAAGCAAUGACCAUCGCAAUCAAAAGCAAUGACCCCUUGCAAAUUAGUCAAUGCUUGCGGUUUCUUCAGACAGGCGAUGCAUGGGAUUUUUUUCAUGAGAAAUAAUGCCACCAUGCAUUUUAGUAAAUCCGGUGGAAAUGAAUUAUUUAAAUCUCGUAGAUGAUAUAUCAAAUGGUAAAACAGAAUAUCAUCAUUAUUUUUGUGCGGAACAAUAGAAGUCUGAAUACUUUAUUAUUUGUUUUACACGACAUUUCUAAACUGUACCACCUUCUAGGAGAGUUACUGAGAAAGUUUAUGAAGAUAUUAGCCAUGCAUAUUAAGCUGUGGGAAUGUCUGUUUUGCAAAUAUCCAAAAAAAAAUUUAACUGCUUACAUAUUCAAAUGUAUAUUGCACUUCCAUGUAGGCAUAGUUAUUGAAGCAGUGACAACACAUGCGAAGAUAGAUCAGGGCAGUAGAUUGUUGAUGGAAGAAAAUCAGAUGGAAAGACGAGUUUUUCUCUUUUGUAUAUCAAUAGCAAUAGCAAUGAAGACAUUGUAAGAGGUAGGGACGAGAAAUAAUUCUCACGGAUCAGUCAGCGAGGAUGCCUCGGUAGAUAACAUCUCCAUUCCUAGUAUCUCAGAUUCGUCCAGAAAUAAUUCUUCCGGCUGUUUCCCAUGAUCUGUUGUACAUGUGCAACUCCUCAACAUUGCGGAAUCUAACAUGAGAGAAAUGAUUAUCCAUGAACUGGUUAAUGAUCUACCACAGUUUUGAUGCAGGAGAGAUUUCGUGGUUACCUGGUGAUUGUAGGAGGCAAGGCGGCGGGAGCCGGGACAAGUGACAGUGCCAUCACCCUCUUGAGUCGGGGUGACGGAGAAUGCAUCAAGUCGCCAUGGAGGAAACUUCAGGACAGGUCACGUGGAAGGAUCGAGCAGGGGUCUAAGGCGACAUAUGCUGUUAGGACGGUAAUGCUGGAAGUAAUUUUUGGUGGAAGUAAUGGUGGUUGAUGAUGGCAAUAAGGGUAGGGGUUGGCCGUGAUUUUGGAACCAGGUAACCACGAGCAUUAACUGAGGAUGGUUGAAACUGAGCUAUGUUUGAGGAAUUGAUGUUGGCUGACGAGCGGAGAGGGUACCAUGGAUUAAUUGGGCUUGUUGGGUUUGGCCCACAUAGGUUGGUGAGGGGCGAUUCUAGAUCAGCUGACGAAGGUUUGACGAAGGAACGGCGGACCGCCUGAUGACGGAACUCGUUUCCCCUUUUUAAGUAGUAGAGAUUGUUGCCUUCCCAGAAAAGGAGCUAUCUAUGGUAAGAUGAUAAAUUCGUCAUUAUGUUGUCUUCCCAGAAUUUGAGCCUAGUCUAUGGUAAGAUGAUAAGUAGUCAUUAUGUUGCCUUCCCAAAGGAGCUUUAUUUUUAGGAGAUUUCGAGAAUUUGAGACAUGUCGAAUUUGAUGUAGGUGGUGCUGUCGAUGGAUUGGCCAGAAAUCACCAAUUAUAGAGCUUUCUUUUUAGGAGGAAACCAGAUUUUAUGCCUUUUGUCAGGUUUCUAUUUAGGUUUCCUAUUUUAUAGGUUUCCAGUUCUAUAGGUUUCCUAUUUUUGUUUACACGCUGGACAUUUAGGUAAGAUGGUUAUGAUGGCAAUAAACAAAAUGCCUCUGAUUGUAAGAUGGUUAUAUGGUAAGAUGAUUAUGUCUCUGAUAGGAUUAGGAUGUAGCGAUGCGGCCCAUUAUGGCCCAUUCGUGAUUAGCGAUAGGAUUAGCGAUGGUUGACGAAAGAUGAUGGCAGAAAACGGAGGAAGUUCCUCCUUUUUAUAUAGUAGAGAU
Lolium perenne is the source of this 3319-nucleotide long non-coding RNA. RefSeq lists it as uncharacterized. NCBI's taxonomy places the organism in Eukaryota, Viridiplantae, Streptophyta, Magnoliopsida, Poales, Poaceae. The record is from RefSeq and is a predicted model, not a curated record.